AUGAGUAUGAUCACUUUGGUAUCGUUCUCGGUUCUGUUUAAUGGGGAGAGAUUGGAGAGCUUCUCACCAUCCAGAGGUAUUAGGCAGGGAGAUCCUAUUUCCCCUUACUUGUUCUUGAUCGCAGUGGAGGGCCUUUCGUGCCUCUUAAAACACAGUUCUCGGUCAUUAGUGCUCGGUGGCAUAAAGGUGGCACCCACGGCUCCGGCAGUGAAUCACCUUUUGUUUGCAGAUGACAGCCUGCUGCUUUUCAAGUCUAGCAUCCAAGGGGCAAAUGAGGUAUCAAACCUACUCGAUACUUAUUGCUUGGCUUCAGGGCAAAGAGUAAACCAUGAUAAAUCAUCGAUCUUUUUCAGUAAAGGGUGCCCAGAGACACUUAGAGGGGACAUUAAGAAUAUACUCAGUGUGCAGAAUGAGUCUCUUAGUGAGAAGUACUUGGGCAUGCCAACAGAUGUGGGACAGUCAAAGAAUGGCACUUUCAAAUACUUACGAGACAGAGUUUGGGAAAGGAUAAAAGGAUGGAUGGAGAAACUCUUAUCUGUUGCCGGAAAGGAGGUUCUAAUAAAGUCCAUGGCCCAAGCAAUACUAGUUUUUUCGAUGUCGUGUUUCAGGCUUCCGAGGGGCCUUUGUGAUAGCAUCACUUCCCUUAUCCGCCAGUUUUGGUGGGGAAGCAAGAGGGGAAAGAGGAAACCUUGUUGGGUUGCAUGGGAUUUGAUGACACGAUCAAAAAGUUUGGGAGGAUUGGGAUUUAGGGAUAUCGAGAUAUUCAACUUGGCACUUCUGUCCAGACAAGUUUGGCGACUUUUGAAUGAUCUGUCCUCAUUGAGUGCACAAAUCCUUAAAGCUGUUUAUUUCCCACAAGGCUCUGUUCUAGACGCUCAAUUAGGCCCGCAUCCCUCACAAAUCUGGUGCUCUAUACUUGAUGGGAGGGAUGUAAUCAUCAAUGGGGCCAUCAGAAGGAUUGGGGAUGGAGCCUCCACGCACAUAUGGAAUCAUAGCUGGAUUCCUCGGAAUGGAAUGAUGUGGCCGAUUACAUCUCUGGUGGAUGUUCCUCCACAGAUGGUGUCAGAGUUAAUUGAUCACACUUCGGCUGAAUGGAGGGAGGACGUGGUCAGGCAGGUUUUUAUACCACUAGAUGCUGAGGCUAUUUUACAGAUUCCAUUGUGCACUCGGCAGGUGGACGAAUUUUGGGCAUGGCAUAAUGACCCCAAGGGACGUUUCUCUCUACGGUCUGCUUACCGGAUGAUUGUCAGCAUCAAGCUUGGGCGCGAGGCAUGGCUAGAAGAACGGGAGGAUCCUUCAAACUCUGCAGCUGAAUUACGGGGGUGGAACUCCAUUUGGAAAGUGGUAGUACCACCAAAGUUGAGAGUCUUCACAUGGCGACUGGCGCACCACUCGCUCCCGACGGGUGACGUUCUAAACCACCGGAACAUGGCAACCUCGAGUGUUUGCCCACUAUGA
Molecule: ribosomal RNA, 1458 nt
Filed under: Triticum aestivum (bread wheat)
Lineage: Eukaryota; Viridiplantae; Streptophyta; Magnoliopsida; Poales; Poaceae
Description: partial small subunit ribosomal RNA
Source: RNAcentral